CGGCAUAAGGCUCAAGCCUGGUUGCAGCUCUGAUUUGAAAGGCCCCCUCGUUUUCGAGGGGGCCACUUUUAUUGCACAU
Molecule: small RNA, 79 nt
Filed under: Rhizobium sp. ERR 922
Lineage: Bacteria; Pseudomonadati; Pseudomonadota; Alphaproteobacteria; Hyphomicrobiales; Rhizobiaceae
Also listed under: 1 other name
Description: suhB
Source: RNAcentral